AAUUUGAUCUUGGUUCAGGACGAACGCUGGCGGCACGCUUAACACAUGCAAGUCGAACGGAGAACUUUGGUUACUGAGAGUUCUUAGUGGCGGACGGGUGAGUAACACGUGAGCAACCUGCCUCUGAGAGGGGGAUAGCUUCUGGAAACGGAUGGUAAUACCCUAUAAUAUAAUUGAACCGCAUGAUUUGAUUAUCAAAGAUUUAUCACUCAGAGAUGGGCUCGCGUCUGAUUAGAUAGUUGGUGAGGUAACGGCUCACCAAGUCGACGAUCAGUAGCCGGACUGAGAGGUUGAACGGCCACAUUGGGACUGAGACACGGCCCAGACUCCUACGGGAGGCAGCAGUGGGGAAUAUUGCACAAUGGGGGAAACCCUGAUGCAGCGAUGCCGCGUGGAGGAAGAAGGUUUUCGGAUUGUAAACUCCUGUCUUAAAGGACGAUAAUGGCGGUACUUUAGGAGGAAGCUCCGGCUAACUACGUGCCAGCCGCCGC
This 491-nucleotide ribosomal RNA is filed under the name uncultured bacterium. Its description in RNAcentral is "bacterial SSU rRNA". It matches the Rfam family "Bacterial small subunit ribosomal RNA", at positions 10 to 518 of the family's 1533-position model. The record is from RNAcentral.